RNAcentral lists this ribosomal RNA (256 nucleotides) under uncultured bacterium. RNAcentral describes it as "partial small subunit ribosomal RNA". It matches the Rfam family "Bacterial small subunit ribosomal RNA", at positions 26 to 285 of the family's 1533-position model. The record is from RNAcentral.
AGGACGAACGCUGGCGGCGUGCUUAACACAUGCAAGUCGAGCGGAAAGGCCCUUCGGGGUACUCGAGCGGCGAACGGGUGAGUAACACGUGAGCAACCUGCCCUUGGCUUUGGGAUAACCCUCGGAAACGGGGGCUAAUACUGAAUGUUUACUGUUGCCGGCAUCGGUGGUGGUAGAAAGAUUUUUUGGCCAGGGAUGGGCUCGCGGCCUAUCAGCUUGUUGGUGGGGUAAUGGCCUACCAAGGCGACGACGGGUA